This 443-nucleotide ribosomal RNA is filed under the name uncultured bacterium. Its description in RNAcentral is "partial 16S ribosomal RNA". It matches the Rfam family "Bacterial small subunit ribosomal RNA", at positions 338 to 795 of the family's 1533-position model. The record is from RNAcentral.
CCUACGGGUGACAGCAGUGGGGAAUAUUGGUCAAUGGGCGCAAGCCUGACGCAGCAACGCCGCGUGAAGGAAGAAGGCUUUCGGGUUGUAAACUUCUUUUGUCAGGGACGAAGCAAGUGACGGUACCUGACUAAUAAGCCACGGCUAACUCCGUGCCAGCAGCCGCAGUAAUACGUAGGUGGCAAGCGUUAUCCGGAUUUACUGGGUGUAAAGGGCGUGGAGGCGGGACUGCAAGUCAGAUGUGAAAACCACGGGCUCAACCUGUGGCCUGCAUUUGAAACUGUAGUUCUUGAGUGCUGGAGAGGCAGACGGAAUUCCUAGUGUAGCGGUGAAAUGCGUAGAUAUUAGGAGGAACACCAGUGGCGAAGGCGGUCUGCUGGACAGCAACUGACGCUGAGGCGCGAAAGCGUGGGGAGCAAACAGGAUUAGAUACCCCAGUAGUC